This 27-nucleotide non-coding RNA is filed under the name Rattus norvegicus (Norway rat). The record is from RNAcentral. Lineage: Eukaryota; Metazoa; Chordata; Mammalia; Rodentia; Muridae.
UUACUCCUUUUUUUGAGGCAAGGUCUC